CUGAACCAGCCAAGUAGCGUGAAGGAUGAAGGGUCCUACGGAUUGUAAACUUCUUUUAUACGGGAAUAAAGGAUCCUACGUGUAGGAUUUUGUAUGUACCGUAUGAAUAAGCAUCGGCUAACUCCGUGCCAGCAGCCGCGGUAAUACGGAGGAUGCGAGCGUUAUCCGGAUUUAUUGGGUUUAAAGGGAGCGCAGACGGGAGAUUAAGUCAGUUGUGAAAGUUUGCGG
RNAcentral lists this ribosomal RNA (228 nucleotides) under uncultured Bacteroides sp. RNAcentral describes it as "partial 16S ribosomal RNA". It matches the Rfam family "Bacterial small subunit ribosomal RNA", at positions 383 to 607 of the family's 1533-position model. The record is from RNAcentral. Lineage: Bacteria; Pseudomonadati; Bacteroidota; Bacteroidia; Bacteroidales; Bacteroidaceae.